This 470-nucleotide unclassified non-coding RNA is filed under the name Hevea brasiliensis (rubber tree). Lineage: Eukaryota; Viridiplantae; Streptophyta; Magnoliopsida; Malpighiales; Euphorbiaceae. The record is from RNAcentral.
UGCUGCACAAUCUUGAUUCCAGUGUGGCGGGCUUGCCAUGAUUUCUUACUCUGACACACAGCUUUCAAGAAAGGCAACAGUGCUGGAAUCCCCAAAGCAGAGGCAACAACACUAAAAGCUCUAGCAGUUGUGUUCCUAACAUACUCAUCAAUGUUAUCAAUAUCAGGACGCAUAGCAGCAAUCAUAGUAGCCAACCCAGCUGCUUUACUUAAAUUAGAGAUGAUCUCUCUCCCUUCCACACGAGCAUAAUAGUCCUCAUCAAUCAACAAUGGUUCAAUCACAACAAGAAUCUUGUGAACAUAAGGCCUGACCAACUCAUCCAACUUAUACAAAACCCUAUCGAUUACCUUCACCAAAAGAUGCCUCUCUUGAUCUUCCAAGGUGGGCUGCAUAAGCAGUGGCAAAAUUCGGUUAAACAAAGGCCCAGCACCAAACUCUCUCGCCUUAUCAGUCAACUGCCUCAAAGCAGU